Molecule: ribosomal RNA, 580 nt
Filed under: uncultured bacterium
Lineage: Bacteria
Description: bacterial SSU rRNA
Rfam family: Bacterial small subunit ribosomal RNA
Source: RNAcentral
ACUCCUACGGGAGGCAGCAGUGAGGAAUAUUGGUCAAUGGGCGAAAGUCUGAACCAGCCAUCCCGCGUGUGGGAUGAAGGCUUAUGGGUUGUAAACUGCUGUUGUAUGGGAAUAAACCCCCCUACGUGUAGAGCAUUGAAGGUAGUGUAAGAAUAAGCAUCGGCUAAUUUCGUGCCAGCAGCCGCGGUAAUACGGAGGAUGCAAGCGUUAUCCGGAAUUAUUGGGUUUAAAGGGUGCGCAGGCGGAAAAGUCAGUCAGUGGUGAAAUCCUGCGGCUCAACCGUUGAACUGCCAUUGAUACUGUAGGUCUUGAGUUUGGUUGAGGUGGGCGGAACGUAUAGUGUAGCGGUGAAAUGCUUAGAUAUGAUACAGAACACCAAUAGCGAAGGCAGCUCACUAAGCUAUAACUGACGCUGAGGCACGAAAGCGUGGGGAGCAAACAGGAUUAGAUACCCUGGUAGUCCACGCCGUAAACGAUGAUCACUCGCUGUUGGCGAUACACAGUAAGCGGCUAAGCGAAAGCAUUAAGUGAUCCACCUGGGGAGUACGGUCGCAAGGUUUAAACUCAAAGGAAUUGACGG